UACAGAGGGUGCGAGCGUUGUCCGGAAUCACUGGGCGUAAAGGGCGCGUAGGCGGCCUGCUAAGUCGGACGUGAAAUCCCUCGGCUCAACCGGGGAACUGCGUCCGAUACUGGUGGGCUCGAAUCCGGGAGAGGGAUGUGGAAUUCCAGGUGUAGCGGUGAAAUGCGUAGAUAUCUGGAGGAACACCGGUGGCGAAGGCGGCAUCCUGGACCGGUAUUGACGCUGAUGCGCGAAAGCCAGGGGAGCAAACGGG
Molecule: ribosomal RNA, 253 nt
Filed under: uncultured bacterium
Lineage: Bacteria
Description: partial 16S ribosomal RNA
Rfam family: Bacterial small subunit ribosomal RNA
Source: RNAcentral